CCUACGGGAGGCAGCAGUAGGGAAUAUUGGUCAAUGGAUGCAAGUCUGAACCAGCCAUGCCGCGUGCAGGAAGAAGGCCUUCUGGGUUGUAAACUGCUUUUGCCAGGGGAUAAAAUGGGCAUGCGUGCCUAAUUGAAGGUACCUGGUGAAUAAGCCACGGCUAACUACGUGCCAGCAGCCGCGGUAAUACGUAGGUGGCGAGCGUUGUCCGGAUUUAUUGGGUUUAAAGGGUGCGUAGGCGGCCUUAUAAGUCAGUGCUGAAAUAUCCCGGCUUAACCGGGAGGGUGGCAUUGAUACUGUAGGGCUUGAGUACAGUUGAGGUAGGCGGAAUUGACGGUGUAGCGGUGAAAUGCUUAGAUAUCGUCAAGAACACCGAUAGUGAAGACAGCUUACUAAACUGUAACUGACGCUGAGGCACGAAAGUGUGGGGAUCAAACAGG
This 440-nucleotide ribosomal RNA is filed under the name uncultured bacterium. Its description in RNAcentral is "bacterial SSU rRNA". It matches the Rfam family "Bacterial small subunit ribosomal RNA", at positions 338 to 776 of the family's 1533-position model. The record is from RNAcentral.